This 270-nucleotide ribosomal RNA is filed under the name uncultured Smithella sp. RNAcentral describes it as "partial 16S ribosomal RNA". It matches the Rfam family "Bacterial small subunit ribosomal RNA", at positions 1100 to 1382 of the family's 1533-position model. The record is from RNAcentral. Lineage: Bacteria; Pseudomonadati; Thermodesulfobacteriota; Syntrophia; Syntrophales; Smithellaceae.
AACCCCUGCCGUUAGUUACGAUGUGUCUAACGGGACUGCCCGGCUCAAACUGGGAGGAAGGUGGGACGACGUCAAGUCAGCAUGGCCUUUAUGCUUAGGGCUACACACGUGCUACAAUGGGUGGUACAAAGAGAAGCCAACUCGCGAGAGCGCGCCAAUCUCAAAAAGCCAUCCUCAGUUCGGAUUGGAGUCUGCAACUCGACUCCAUGAAGUUGGAAUCGCUAGUAAUCGCGGAUCAGCAUGCCGCGGUGAAUACGGUUCCCGGGCCUU